Molecule: non-coding RNA, 775 nt
Organism: Lonchura striata (white-rumped munia)
Lineage: Eukaryota; Metazoa; Chordata; Aves; Passeriformes; Estrildidae
Source: RefSeq, a predicted model, not a curated record
CCCGCGGCGCGGCGUGUGGCCGGACCGCAGCCGCGGCGCCCCUUCCCGGGCGCAGGGUCAGCUGGCACCGGCGCUGCUCGGUGCGGGGCCCGCCCGCGGGGCUCUGCUGCUGUGAGGAAGCACAAAGGGGGCACCGGGGCGCCCGCCCAGCCCCGAGCGCGGCUGCGCCCGCGCGUGCGGCAGGAGCCGGGCGGGAGCCCCGGGAAAAGGGAGACGGCCCCGCGGGGCUGGGGGAGCCCGGGGCGCCGCAGACCCGACAGACACCCCUAGACAAGGGACGGGUGGCAGCUGGUGGCGGUCUGUCCUGUGUGCUUCGGUAAGGCCGCUGAGACCUGAUUUCUUUGGUGGCAUUAUCUCAUGCGGUGAAUGCAAACGUUAUUUUAGGCUAAACUUUCCCGGCCAGGCUGCAUGGGUGAGCGUCACUGGCACGCACGGCACCCACCUUGUCUGCGCGCUCCGAGCGGGGCGGCUGGGAGGGACACUCGGGAACGGCGGGCAGGAGCUGCUCCGUGUUGAUCCUUAGACAAAUCCUACACUUAUUGUCGUCGCGGUUAUGCAAGCAGCACAGUUACAUAAUCAGAAUAUAAAAAUACGGGGGAAAGCGCUGUAAGGGUGUUACUGUUCCUAAAGGCAUCUGAAGGAAAUAGAAGAUGGUCUUCAACAUCCACUAGCUCUUGGUUGCCAAAAGUACAUUUUACAUGUUGAUAUUCAGAUACAUGCAUGGUCACAUGGUAUAAACUGAAGUCAAGUGUAAUUAAAACAUUUUGUUCAAAGA